Long non-coding RNA from Varroa destructor (honeybee mite), 2328 nucleotides. RefSeq lists it as uncharacterized. The record is from RefSeq and is a predicted model, not a curated record. NCBI's taxonomy places the organism in Eukaryota, Metazoa, Arthropoda, Arachnida, Mesostigmata, Varroidae.
ACAAUGCUGAUAAGGUAAAGCUAAGUGCGCGGGUGUCGUGUCUAAUUGAGUGGCACUAUAUGCACGAUACUGCUUGUUGUCGUUGACAUGAUGCCAGGUCAAGGUUUUCAUCACUGAACUAUACUGGACCUUCCAACGGAUGGGGAAUAGCAUUCGCUAGAUUUAUAAGGAGCAUGUGCAUUGAUGCUAUUUCUUUGAUCCAACUCUUCUGUGAAUGAAGCGAGUUUACGAUCAACAUUUUUACCGUCCUCAUAAUAUGGCACACUAUCAAAGUGACGUUACAGCGGCCAGCUAGUAUAAAGUUUGUGAAGCCUUGUUACGCGUCCAGUAUACCGGUUAAUACGUAUAUAACUAAGGGGUGGAAUCAAAGCAACCAUAGCGACCACGGACAAGAUCUGCACCAGACUGCUCAUAGGAGUCCUCCUGUGAACAUCAUAUUUUCUCACAUAACAAAAGGGGUAGCAGUCCCCCUUUCGGCUUGGCUACAGGGGCAAAAAAGAUCACAGGCGCUCCCUCAUUAUCCAAAAUAGCCGUCCGGCCAAGAUACUCGUGGUGAAAGCGUCAUCUGCUCACGCUUCUCAUGAAUGCGAUCCACAAUGACGGGUAAAACGCGACGUCACUUAUAGAGGCGACCAAAACCUGGUACGUACCGUAACAGUGGCAGUAUUUUGGUAAUUAACUCCCUGCUGUAUUUCAAGCGACGCCAUAUUCAAAAAAGUUCGUCGGGGCCUUAUGGCACGGUAUGUAAUAGAUGUCGUAGGCCUCUAAUCAACUAACAUGAAAGGUACCGCUAAAUGCUUGAGACGGCAGGAAAUGAGAAAAUUUAAUAGGUGGAUUAACUAUGGCUAACGUGGCUACACGACGGCGGCACAAAAUAACGGCUGUAACGGUAAGCAGAAAAUCGAUUAUUUGGACCGAAAGAAUAACAAGUUGACUUAGCGUGACGAGUAAUCCAAACGUAUUGUUAGCUCUAGUGGCCUAUUUUGGGUCACGUCGGUGUCAUAAAAAAGUUUGGAACACGAUAUAGGAUAUAAAGGGUAUAAAAGCCGCCGUCACUCACUGAUACACUGUCAGUCUCCGAGUAACGGGGAUUAAUAUAUAUAUAUAUAUAUAUAUAUAUAUAUAUAUAUGUGUGUGUGUAUAUAUAAUACGAUUCGAUAAAACCCAUUUGCCGAUAGCAGUGUAUCCCAGACGCACUCAUCGCUCCGAAUAUAACCCUUCGACCCAGCGGGAUUAUUCGAUUACCUGCCUUCUACCCGAAGAAAAGAUACGGGACAAAACUAUAGUUUUUACCCCGUUAAUUUGUUUGCGUCACAAUGUUUACUCGACGAUCGCUCGUCUACACAGAAGCUUUUAACUAGUGUUGUCGAAUGGCCGAAUUUUAUCUGGAGCAAAAGCGUCACCUUUAUUUUUCUAACACACUACGCAAGCUCUCCGCCGGGUACUUCGAACUCAAGUUGAUGCUAUCUAGUCCUUCUCGUCGUCGAUUGCUACAGAAUAAAACAUUCACUCGAUCCUAAGGCCGACACCGAACCCUUUUAUUGUCUACAUGUGCCUCUGUGUUCUUCGGCCGCCGAACUGCCUGAAUGCUUAAUGUUCGGGGGGCCCGGCAGGUGGUUCCGCUACCGCUGAAAUAGAGAAGUAGCAAUUCAGAACAAGAAGAAGCAGGUCUCAAGGGAAAGACAGGCCAGGCAGCUCAUUGGAGUUGCCCUCCAGGAAAACAAUUCGACAACGAUGAAGAUGCCCCUUGCUACAAUAACGGAUAUCGACGAAUGCAGUUUUCUUGUUUCUUUAUGUGUACGUGAAGACCCCUGUUGAGCAACGCGGAAAGCAUAGACGAUGCUUUGUAAGCCUAAUUUUGAUUCGUGUUUCACACUUUGUUUCAAAGUUCGUCUCAGUAUAAACUUUACGCAGUGAUAGCAUAAAGUAAUCAAAAUAAAAAAUAGUAUUUGCAUAGAGUCAUCCAGCUGCAAUGAAUGCGCACACUAGAAAUUCAUUCGCCAGACACAUCAUAAAUGGGUCACUCCAUGCCGAAAGUGGUCCCGGUAGGGAGUGUCAGGUCAAAAGUGAUUCUUAGAUGAACAACCUGUCUGUUUACCUGUAACCGAAUUUUUUUUUUAACACAUAAACAGGUAAGCACUUGUCUACGAGUAUUGAGCUAUAUGAUAAGGCAUAAAACAGGGUUUAUAAUUCACCGAAGUUAUUUCUAUUAAUAAUCUCUUGAAGGACGGCCCUCCAUUAAUCGACGAUUCGGGCAGGCAGGCCCUGUAGUCUUCUUGUAAUAUGUGAGGGAACAAUCCAGAACAAUUAUGGAACUUACUAAUUGUA